GCGACCGCCUGUCUUCUUGACAGCCCAAGUCACGGAAAGGAGACAAACACAGAGUAGGUCCUACCUGGAGUCUGCCCUGUGGCUGUCUGAGCUGACACAGAAUGACAAAGCUUGGAUAUACAUAUUUAAAAUAUCUCUUCCAUCUCCCCCUCCUUUUGUGAAAGAUAGCUGUAUGCAUUUGGCCCAAGGCCUGUUACAGUUUUUCUGGAGGCAGCCAGACUUGGAACAUUCAAGAACACAGACGUAGGAACUGCAUAAAAAGGAGGAGCUCUCCCACCCUCGUCGGAGUGAACCGCUUGCCGUCUGACAGCAAACCUUUUGGGAAACAGCCAGCCUUGUCACCGUGCUUGAAGGCUUUUCAGGGCAUAGAGAGGACACGGUGCAGCUUGGCAGGCGCGUUCCGACUCCGGUCUGGUGUAGGGGUUGCACUCAGUCUCUCUGGCUGUUUUGUGUGUUCCCGUCUGACAGCUCACACUUCUCCACCGUGUGCCUUGGCCGCAGGACACAGAGCACUAAGAAGAAAGACUGUGUGUUACCCAAGGCCCCAAGGGUGGAAUCCACUCGGCCAGGUAACAACUAUCCUGACGGAAAGAGUCAUCCCUCCCCGUCCCCAAGCUCCCCUCUGAAAAACCAAACCUGUGCAGACAAACACAACCAACACGCCGGUGUCAGCCACGUGGCCCAAGGUAAGGAAGCAGUCGUAGAGGAGAAGCAUUGCUCACCUGACUCCAGGCGCCAGCUUUCCAUUUGGGGCAUCUUCCUCCUCUGCACUUUCUGUGCCCACUUGGCUUAGCAAGGUGUUUACAGUAAUCACUUUCUAAAUGGUUUCCAUCUUUUGCCAUGCAGUAAACAUUUCGUUGUUUAUGCCCUCGACCACAAGAGACAGAACACUGAAAUAUAAAGCAAUGGCAAGGUUGUUGUUGUGUUUUUUUUUUUAAAUCACAUGGAGUUUGAUAAAAACCCGUGUCGUGAGAUGUUAAGAUCAUACCUGACAAGAGUCACCAUCUCCCCCCUUUUCCAACACCAUUUAAGGUAAUAUCUCAACGCUCUACACGGCAAGAAGAUAGCAUUCGGGGAAAAAAAAUGUCCGUAGUAUUUCAGCAGCAAUCCUGCCUAGUAUUUUGGGUUCUUCAAGAGUGCGGGUAAAUCCUGACAAUUUUGGCCAAAAAAUAAAGCCAAUGAACCUGAAAUUACCAUGACAUCCUGGGAUUCUAAAAAAUCUUCCUAUGAAUUAGAAAGGAUGCCUUUCUCACAACUCACUUUAUGCAGGAUCAGGAUACUUCUUCAACCAAAUGCCUUGCAAUUCACUGAUGUGGAUAAAUGUGCAUUUCCAAAAUACAACUGUGUCCAAUUUCCUAAUGAAAUGAUUUAAGGAAAUUCUCCUACCAUUUUUCAGAGGAUAAACUCUCAUUUUCCCAGUCCGUUGGGAAGGAGGUGAAAAAGCCACAUUAGAAACCGAAAGGUAAGCUGGCAGACGUGUGUGGUCUCUCAGACAUCAAGGAGCCAGCAAACAACCCCAGUGUGUCUGCCAGGAUGAGAAGGGCUGAGGACCUAGAGAGAGGGAGAUUCCUGUGUUGCCAAGGCAGCCGUGAACCUGAACAUGUGUGCAAAGACAGAGGAGAGCGCGGAAUUGGACCCUGGGAAGAAAGACACUUAUACUGCAAAUACACAGUCACAUAAACGGAAACAUUCUGUUUAUGUGUAACGUGUGAUGGAGGAUGCUGAUCAACUAGCCCAUAUAUCCAACCACGGGACUGGCUGCCAGCAGGACCACCAUGGCACUUAUUACCAUGAAAAGGAGCCGAGAAAGCAGGAGAUUGGCAGGGAACACCAUGGAAGAAAGCAGAUGCGCGAGUCACGGUCAUCCCAGCCGGAUGGGGCACGAGGCCAUCCUUCCAUCUCCGUUGCCCCCAUCACCGACAGUCUUUGCAGUACUCCAAAGGUCUAAGACCGUGGGAGAAAAGGAACUAAGGAUCACAUGUCAACCCUUGGGGCACACUCGAAGGCUGCUCUCAAUACUACAGCCAAGUUAUAGGUGAUGAUUAUUUGUAAUCUGACAUCAGCAGAAUAAUCUUGCAGGAAAGAGGUGGAGAUGACAGAAGGACAGAGAUGACACAGGACAGAAUCCCUGUGCUUACCCCGGGAUUAUUCAUGAAGGCAGUCUGGAACAUAGGGGGAUAGGAGGACCAGGAGAGGCAUCAUCUAAAAUGUUCUCUGACCCACCAUGCUCAGAGUUGAGCCUGCUCUUUGGAAGGUAUAUUCGUAUGGGUGGUGUGGAGGUUGGAGACACGGCAUUUGCUUUCUGCUAGAGCACGGAAGAUUUGCAAAGUGGCAAAGGGAAGAGGAGAGGUAGAGCUUCAGAAACUUUCUUCCUCAGAGGUUCAUGCGCUGAAAAGCCAACUUAAUGCCACACAUCUGGAAAAGCUGAUCACCUACGUAUGGCUUCCUCUUAAGGAUUUAAAAAAAAACUGGUGGGAAAUAAUUGAAGGCAUUGAUGGUGAAAACCUGCUGAUCUCUACAACGUAACAAUUUAUCUUUCCAGAAAGGAGAAAGGAAUUUUAUAACUUUUAAUUUUUAAUUUUAUAACUUUAAGGACUUCUCUGACUUAAAAAAAAAUAGGAAUUUUGUAUCAGACACAUUUGGGAAAUGCUGCAGUCUAUAUAUAGCCCACCUAAUGCCCAUGAGAAUAUGGAAAGAAAAGUUUUACUGUCAGAAAUCCAUAGAGAUGCAGGGAGGAGGCAAUAUCACCGCCCAGGGGAUGUGGCAACGUUUGAAGACAUUUUUGGCUAUUACAACCAAGACGAUGGUUGGCAUCCAGUGGGUAGAAACAAGGAUGCUGUGUGACAUCUUACCAUGCACAGACCAGCUCCCCAACAACAAAACUACCUGGUCCCACAGGUCAACAGUGCUGAGACGGGGGUAUCCUGAUUCACUCCUAUUUACAACCCAUACAAGACUUUCUGCACCUCUGCCUUAGUCUCUAAUCAGAAAUACACUCUGCUACUUCUCUGAUCAAAUGCAAAUGAGGAGUGAAUCCUACUUUUUAAAAGUAUCCAAAAGAAAAACCAAAAUGUUCAACUCUGACACACCAAUUCCUAGAUACAGCCGGACUAUUACACAUGUUGCAAAUUCUAUCGUGGAUGAGGGAAAUACUGAUGCUGGAAACACGGAGUUAAAAGCAACAUACAAGUAUGAACUAUCAGUGCUACCAGAACAAUCCAAAGGUUUGAACAUGGCAGAGUAGCCCCUUUUAGAAAUGCCCAUCCUCGUGUGUGCCUUUGUUUCCAAAGUUGGUCACUCCUGCCAAAAUUGCCAUGCAGAAUGUCUACGCGUUACAUUGGACACAUUUGUAGACAUUUAUAACAAUUCUCCCUCCCGACUUCAAAAAAAGAAGGAGGGACUCUACUCAUUGGUUUGCAAAUUCAGUCUGGUAAGACAACGUUGAGGCCUCAUAUUUUCAGCUCAUCCUUGAAAAUGUUUGACUGACCUUGAUGGCUUCCCACAAUCCCACAUAAUAUAUAAUGGAAAAUUCAACUCUCUGGAGAGAACUGUUUUCUGAUAGCUGGCCAGUGACAUUCCAUGGGGCUUGCAUCUGUGACCUUGAGUUUGACUUUUGCUGAGGAGUCCUCCCUCUCCUCACCAGAUGUCUCUUUAGGGUUUCACAACCUUGGUACCAUGUCAACAUCUUGGGUGAGAUAAUUCUUUGCUGUUGGGGGCUAUGCUGUGCCUUGUAGGAUGCUUAUCAACAUCCUUGGCUUCCAUUUAUUAGAUACAAGUAGCACCCCCAACCCAUUUGAGACAUUAGUCCCCAGACGUUGCCCAAUGUCCCCAGGGGGUAAAAAUCACCCCCAGUUGAAAACCACUGACUUAUCCUAAGGUUUUCAGAAAGUCCUUCAACAAAAUCUCAAAACGGAAUUGAUUUUAACUGAUUUAAUAGCCAUGGUGGGGCACAGAGAGCUUUUUCAUGGAAGGAAGUGGUAAAAGGCCUGCUGAACAUCAAUCCAAGAUCAAGGUCUUAGGCUAAAAGAGUUGGGAAGUCCUGGUCUCCAGAGAACGUGACAUGGACAACGUGAAACCAAUUCCCACACACAGCAAUGACUACAAUGAACAAACACGCUCUUCGGGACAGCACUUCCUCCCUGACAUCAUGUCCCUGGCCUGCCACCGCUAAGAGUUCCCGGAUAUUUCACAUAUGAUUAAAAAGACAACCAAUGAGAAGGAAAUCAUGAUUUCAACAAGAAAGGGCACAUUGUAAUGCAGAAAUAGGGCUCCGUGAAUAUGAAAAGCUGCCUUCCGGAGACUUCCUUCAAAGAGGGAAUGAUCUCUUGGAAUUCAAGCUUCUACAAGGUGACUACCUGGUGUUUUCCAUUUUUGUCUUCUCCUAAAAAGCAUCAAUCACGCCUUGCCCUUUCGGCCCACUGAACACAUAAACACUCUUUUUCCCUAACUGAACUUACUGCCACGAUGAACUUGAACUCUAAGACGCACAAGAGGAGAGUUGUUUUAACAGCUGCUUUUACACUGAGGCUCUGGAGUUACUACCCUCAAGACAGCUGGUUCUGAUAAGCCUCUCUUCCCACUGUCCUGUUUUUUCUAAUGCCCAGCUGUCAGGGAACACCCACUAAAGUGUUCCAAAACAAAGGCACAAAACAGAAGAAAGGCAAGAGAAUGGUACUCAUUUGGAUGCAAGGGCAUCCUACAUAGGGACCCUUUACGAGCCGACACAGGGUUUUUCUCCCCAACUUGCUUUUGUAAGUUUACGGAUUUCUCGGCUAGUUGCGGAUUAAUUGCUAAAGACGUUGCCUGAGGUUGCCCUGUCCAAUAUGGGAGCCACCAGCAACAGGUGUCUGUUUGGAUUUGGAGUAAUUAAAACGAAAUACAAUUUAAAGUGCAGUAUCCCUGUCGCACAUUUCAAGUGCUCCAUAUAAGCCACAUGCAGCUGGCAGCUUCCAUGCUCGAAAGCAAAAAGAGAGAACAUUUCCCUCAUUGUAGAGACUUAUUGGACUGCACUGGCCAAGACAUACGCUCUUUCUAAGAGGGGAAAGGGGAUGCAGAUCUGGUAAGAAUGAUGGUUUUGUCCGUUGGGCCUGUAUCAAUUAUCUUCCAUACGACUUCCUGUACACUCUUUUCUUGGCUGCCAAUGUUCCAUUUUCUACAUUUUUGGAAGGGGAGGUUGUGGUCUUUGAAACAAUCCAUGAAAAGGAUCCCACUUCAGAGGAAACAAAACCACAGGAAGCAAAGGUGGUGGUGUGGCAAUCCCCACGUUCUAGAUGUUUUUAUUGGUGAUCAGCAAAUAACAAAGGGGAAAAUGUACCUCGGCCAGGGCUUCCCACGUUUGGGCGGAGGCUGAGGACCCUGACAGAGAGAGAUGGAAAGCCAGGAUCUCUGC
This is a long non-coding RNA of Neofelis nebulosa (Clouded leopard), 5389 nucleotides long. RefSeq lists it as uncharacterized. The record is from RefSeq and is a predicted model, not a curated record. NCBI's taxonomy places the organism in Eukaryota, Metazoa, Chordata, Mammalia, Carnivora, Felidae. The transcript has 9 exons.